This 322-nucleotide ribosomal RNA is filed under the name uncultured eukaryote. Its description in RNAcentral is "partial 18S ribosomal RNA". It matches the Rfam family "Eukaryotic small subunit ribosomal RNA", at positions 1470 to 1796 of the family's 1831-position model. The record is from RNAcentral.
CCCUUAGAUGUUCUGGGCCGCACGCGUGCUACACUGAGUGGAUCAGCGGGUCAGGUUGCGCGAAAGCGUUUCCUAAUCUUUAAAUCCGCUCGUGAUGGGGAUUGACGGUUGCAAUUUUCUGUCAUGAACGAGGAAUACCUUGUAAGCGCGGGUCAUCAUCCCGCGCUGAAUACGUCCCUGCCCUUUGUACACACCGCCCGUCGCUCCUACCGAUUGGGUGUGCUGGUGAAAUGUUCGGAUCGGCCGUUUGUCGCGGUUUCCGCGUCAUGUGGCUGAGAAGUUAAUUAAACCCUCCCACCUAGAGGAAGGAGAAGUCGUAACA